GCAUCGGUGGUGAAAAGAAGACAAUGCCUCGCGCUGCCACAGCGGGCGCCCGGGUUCGAUCCCGGCCGAUGCA
Molecule: non-coding RNA, 73 nt
Organism: Ostertagia ostertagi
Lineage: Eukaryota; Metazoa; Nematoda; Chromadorea; Rhabditida; Trichostrongylidae
Source: the annotation of a GenBank genome assembly